Molecule: ribosomal RNA, 409 nt
Filed under: uncultured bacterium
Lineage: Bacteria
Description: bacterial SSU rRNA
Rfam family: Bacterial small subunit ribosomal RNA
Source: RNAcentral
UAGGGAAUAUUGCGCAAUGGGCGAAAGCCUGACGCAGCAACGCCGCGUGAAGGAUGAAGGCCUUCGGGUCGUAAACUUCUGUCAGAUGGGAAGAAGGUUUGUAGGUUAAGAGCUAGUGAACUUGACGGUACCUGCAGAAGAAGAUGCGGCCAACUACGUGCCAGCAGCCGCGGUGACACGUAGGCAUCAAGCGUUAUCCGGAUUUAUUGGGCGUAAAGAGCUCGUAGGCGGUUCGGUAAGUCGGGUGUGAAAACUCUGGGCUCAACCCAGAGAGGCCACUCGAUACUGCUGUGACUAGAGUGCGGUAGGGGAGCGGGGAAUUCCUGGUGUAGCGGUGAAAUGCGCAGAUAUCAGGAGGAACACCAGUGGCGAAGGCGCCGCUCUGGGCCGUAACUGACGCUGAGGAGCG